GCCGGCCCCUCAGCCCUGCUGCCCAGCAGCAGCCUGUGCUCGCCCUGCCCAACGCAGACAGCCAGACCCAGGGCGGCCCCUCUGGCGGCUCUGCUCCUCCCGAAGGAUGCUUGGGGAGUGAGGCGAAGCUGGGCCGCUCCUCUCCCCUACAGCAGCCCCCUUCCUCCAUCCCUCUGUUCUCCUGAGCCUUCAGGAGCCUGCACCAGUCCUGCCUGUCCUUCUACUCAGCUGUUACCCACUCUGGGACCAGCAGUCUUUCUGAUAACUGGGAGAGGGCAGUAAGGAGGACUUCCUGGAGGGGGUGACUGUCCAGAGCCUGGAACUGUGCCCACACCAGAAGCCAUCAGCAGCAAGACACCAUGCGGCUUCCGGGUGCGAUGCCAGCUCUGGCCCUCAAAG
RNAcentral lists this long non-coding RNA (399 nucleotides) under Homo sapiens (human). RNAcentral's name for it is "non-protein coding lnc-PDGFRB-1:3". The record is from RNAcentral. Lineage: Eukaryota; Metazoa; Chordata; Mammalia; Primates; Hominidae.